Molecule: ribosomal RNA, 254 nt
Filed under: uncultured bacterium
Lineage: Bacteria
Description: partial 16S ribosomal RNA
Rfam family: Bacterial small subunit ribosomal RNA
Source: RNAcentral
UACGUAGGGUGCAAGCGUUGUCCGGAAUUAUUGGGCGUAAAGAGCUCGUAGGCGGCCUGUUGCGUCCGCUGUGAAAGCCCGGGGCUUUAACCCCGGGUCGGCAGUGGAUACGGGCAGGCUAGAGGUAGGUAGGGGAGAAUGGAAUUCCCGGUGUAGCGGUGAAAUGCGCAGAUAUCGGGAGGAACACCGGUGGCGAAGGCGGUUCUCUGGGCCUUACCUGACGCUGAGGAGCGAAAGCGUGGGGAGCGAACAGG